Molecule: transfer RNA, 787 nt
Filed under: Rhodopseudomonas sp.
Lineage: Bacteria; Pseudomonadati; Pseudomonadota; Alphaproteobacteria; Hyphomicrobiales; Nitrobacteraceae
Description: partial 16S-23S ribosomal RNA intergenic spacer
Rfam family: tRNA (bases 141-214)
Source: RNAcentral
GCUCUAAGUCAUACGAGCCUCAUUGGCGGGAUUUCGCCGUCUUCGUUUCUCUUUCUUCGCGGACGAACACGCGCCUGGGGUGCGCGCAGUUGGUCGGCUGGCUUGUGCCGCCGAUGGAUUGCCGUGACCUCUCGUGCUGAGGGCUUGUAGCUCAGUUGGUUAGAGCGCGCGCUUGAUAAGCGUGAGGUCGGAAGUUCAAGUCUUCCCAGGCCCACCACACUCAUCGAGCGUCGCAUUCGUCUUCUGGUUACGGGGCCAUAGCUCAGCUGGGAGAGCGCGUGCUUUGCAAGCAUGAGGUCGUCGGUUCGAUCCCGUCUGGCUCCACCAGAUGGACGAUCGCCGAUUGGUUCCUAAGACUCGUGUUUGUGUCUCGCUGCUGUCAUCCGGACAGCGCGAUGGACAUCGUCCGCAUCUUGUAUUCGCCGGCCUGUGCGCUGCACGGCCUGGCGGGUUAUCUGACAUCGUAUAGAGGAGAUCGAUCCGAGUUCGGAUCUGCGGAGCAAUCUGCGGAGGCCGUUCGCUUAUCUCCGGAGCGUUUUCGGCGCCUGAGCAUCGCAAGAUGGUUAGGUUGUAAAACGCUUCAUGUUGACGACGCUUGACCGCAUCGUCAUCGGUUCGAUCUUACGAAGCAAUAACUGGUCUUUCUAAUCAGUGUCCGUUUGCGAGACGCGUCCUUUAAGGAUGGCUCGCGAAUACAUUCUGCCGAGUGUGUGGACAUUGAUAAUGAGAGCAAUCAAGUGCCUUAAGGGUGUUCGACGGAUGCCUUGGCGCUGAGAGGCGAUGAAGG